AUCACAGCAGGGAGCUCCAGCGCCGGGGGUGCCAGCGAGGAUUCGGAAACACAAACAGGCACCCACACGCCUGCCUGCCUGGCAGAAAAGGGCACCCCUCCCCUUCAAACGUGGGCCGUCCCUGCUCCCUUCACCUGCAGAGGGAAGGCGGGCAGGCGCCGGCUGGCUGGCAUUCCCGUCCAUUUAAAGGACUUCCAUGCACCCCCUCCAGCAGUUUGCAGCCGAGAGCGGCGCUCGUUUAAGGCUACCAAACGGUCCAGUCAGUCGGAGGCGGACGCUGGCCCCACAUUUCAUCACCUGGGGGGGACAAAGGUGCCCCGAGGUCUUCCUCCCACACGCACCGCUCAAGGUGCAAGCAGCUCGUGGGCGCCUGAAGCCCAUCCCCCCCCCACCUCCUCACAGGCCACCACCGGGCAAUCUGAGGCUUCGCUUGGGGGUUUCCCACGUUCCAUCGACAGCAAAACGUACGAGCGAUCUGGGGCCCGACACGACCAUCUCGGGCAAAGACCCGAACAACUGAAUUACAGAAAAACCUUCACCCCGAGCUGUUUCCAGGCAGCUGGAGGGAACAGGGGACUCCAAAACCCACUCACAACUUUCAUCUUGGGGGGUGGCCCUCCAGAGGUCCUUCGGACGGGCCUGGGAGCCGCUCCGAGUCUCGCCUGAGGCGGUUUGUCUGUUCCUGCCCCGCUUCUCGCCCCAAGCAGCUCACGACGUGUUUAAACAAAGAACUGGCACAGUACAGGUAAAAACACCACAAGUUAUCAUUUUAAAACACAAGGUUAUGCCCUGCAGAGAUUUAAAUUCCCGGCCCCAGGAGUUUCAGCCCACAGACGUGGAACUAAUAGUGAGCAUCUUCCCCUAAGGGGGAAAGAUGUUGAAAGAGGCCCACUAUAGACAUACAAAGGAAGCAGACAGUGGAAAUGAUCGCUUCUUGAUCAAAAUUGCCUUCAAUACACAUUUUUAUGCAGUUUCUCAGGAGUAGGGUCGUGGGUGUUCCACUUUUUCAUUUUUAUGACCCAAAAUAUUGGCAGCUUAGUUUCACUGACUCUUCAAAGCCUGAGAACAUUUAUGUCAUAACAAUUGCAAUAUAAGACUCUUGUUGUUGUUUUUCGAGCCACCAAGUGGCCCCAGAAUAAAUCUGUUCUCCUGACUUUUUCCUCCCA
This 1166-nucleotide long non-coding RNA is filed under the name Pogona vitticeps (central bearded dragon). RNAcentral's name for it is "lncRNA (ENSPVIG00000005200.1)". Lineage: Eukaryota; Metazoa; Chordata; Lepidosauria; Squamata; Agamidae. The record is from RNAcentral.